UCGGCCUCUGGAAUUCUGAGAACUAAUUUGCUAUUCGGUGACAUAAGAGGGGGAGUGCGCUUUGCUUUCCUGGGGUCUGGGGCUCAUUCCUCCUCUCUUACCCAUAAACUCAGCUCCUGGAGCUAAAUUACACGAAAGGGAGCGAGAGAUUCGAACCGUUGGGAAAAGUCUGUUAUAUAUACUAGGUUUAGAAGCGAGUCAGAGAAAAAACAAACACCACAGCUCUUUGCAGCUAGAAUAGUAGGCACCACGAGAAAAAUAUUUGCCAAGCAGUUUUCGAAGCCUAUCUGAAGCCGGCUUGAUGGCAGGGAGAGCUGGAGAGCGGAAGAAUGUGCAGAGGGAGGGAGUGCUUGGUACUUUUCCAUUCACAUCUCCACAGUGGCUUUUCUUGUUUAUUUCAGCCUCCACCCGCAGGAACCUUUCUGCUGCUUGAAAUUCGAGUCAUUAAACUGUUCCCUGUGGUCAGACUACAGAUGUUUGGUGCAUGUUUCCUACAUGUCGGUGUCUAUGUAGCAUAUGUACCUAUAGAAACACAUACACACAAACGUGUAACUCCACAGGGGCAUAGUGUGAGGUUGGGGCGGGGGGCGGGGGGGAGAGACACUGGAUAGGUUGCCAAAAAAGCCUUUGUUUCUAAUUACAGUUCUGCCUGGAAGUCCUUAUGGGACCUAGAGCAAAACCACUUGUCAAGACUCAGUUUCCUUGACUAUGUGAAGGAAUAACCCAGAUGAUAUGCAUGAUGUCUAUUUGUUCAAAAUUCUAUACCCAUGUAUCUAAAUGCAUAUUUACAUAACUUUAAGGUGGGGAGGGAGAGAUGGAAAGGAGCUUUGUGUACCUGGGAUGGGGGAAAGGGUUAAAAUUUAAACUUCUAAGUAAAGAAGGCAAUCCCAGAAUUCUCACCUCUAUCAAUUUUUAACCAAUUGUAGACCAAAGUCUGGGAUUAUGCUGAGUUGGGUCCAAAAGCCAACUGAAGAUUUUAAAUGUUAGGAAUUGGAAGAGGCAGUUUCUAAGACCUUGUACUUUUGAUCUCCAGCAUUCAGAAUCAAAUGUGACAAUUCCCAAGUGUCUUUUCUGCCCUAGAAUUCUUCUGUAGUUUUGUUUGUUUUUGGAAACUGUCCUAGUUAAUGAUAGAAAGGAGAUGACACUUGUAAACUGGGCAGUCUUUAAGCCACAGAGCCCCAUGUGGGUGUGAAAAAUAUGUCAUAAUGUGGAGAGAGAGAGAGAGAGAGAGAGAGAGAGAGAGAGAAGAGAAGAGAAGAGAAGAGAAGAGAAGAGAGAAGGGGGGAGAGAGAGAGAAAAAGAAAGAAAAACCUAGAGAGAGAGAUUCCUAGUAAGAAACUUAGAGGUAACCCAGCCAUCACUGCAUUGAAAGUAAUUAUUUGAAGUCAGAGGAAAUUACAGAUGAGGAGUUUGCCUCAAAAAAAAAAAAAAAAAAAAAAAAAAAAAAAAGCCUUGGUCUACCAGAAGAAACUUGAAGUUAAUGAAAGAGAUAUUUUCCAUCAAAUUAAUAUUUCCUAUAUUAAAAAAAAUAUUUCCUAUAAUUUUUAAAUCUUCAUUCUUGAAAAAGAAAAGUCUAAAAUUUUUCAAAUCUGAUUGUCUAGAUAAAUUAAGGUCUUUAACAGCAGUGACCGCCGUACUACCACCAUCUCUCCACUGGCUUAGACCUUCUGGAAUAUUAUUGGUACCCCAUGGACAAGGAGAGGUGAGCCAGUUACAUAAUAUACUAGAACUGGGAGGGUCCUUAGCAAUUAUCCAAUCCAACACUACUGAUUUUGUAUAAUUGGAAAUUGAGGCCCAGGCAGAAUGUUUUUGCCACACACACUGAAUCACUGACAGAGCUGGAUCCAGAAUUUGGAUGCUCUGGUUUAAAUCUGGGCUAUGGCUUUUCCAUGGCUUAUCAUGGAAAGAGGAUUUGGAGUGGGUAGCCCUGAAAAAUAGCCAUUUUCUGUGGCCUUACAUUCACAGAAGGCCUCACAUUUGGACUUUUGACAUGAUCUCCCCAGAGUUUCUCCAUCAGUCUUUCCAUACAUAGACAGAUGGAAAGAAGAUCAUUUUACACGUGUUUUGUGUUGGGUCCCAGCGUAGGACUCAGUAUAUGAUCCCCCACAGGCUCCUAAGGUACUGUGAUUUAAUAUAGUUAGUAAAUCUAUAGUUGUUUUAUGAAUGGUGCAAUUGUAUCAUAGUUGAAGAUAAUAAUUUUACAUUUAAAAUAUCAUUUGGCCUGAAAACAAUGAUGCUGCAGUAGCAGUGAGCACACCAAGCAGAUCGUGACCUGAUACAUUCUCCAGUAUUGGGAGGCAAGGCUUUUGAACAAAUGGCUAAUUCUAGUUCUAGGACUGGAGCAGGAAAUACACAAAAUUAGGAUGGAACAUCUUGUAGCACCAUAGAGUAAGGAAUUGUUAAAAACAAAAACUGUAUCAAUGAGGGAUAUUUCAAAGAGAUCCUAAAGCCACCUGAAGAGCUCCAAUGGCCAAAUCUGGAAAAUUUUGAGCAAAAAAAUAGAGUAAUAUUGAAUUACAACCCAAAGUAUAAAAUGAAUAUCCAUGAAUCCACACAGAUAUAAAUAAAUUAUUGAAUAUAUGAAUAAAUGGUAGAAAAGAUAUAAAUCUCCCUUGCAGAAGAAUUCCAAAUAAUUUAUGAAGAUACACUGCCCUCAAGGAGAGGAAGUAUAACUCCCUACUUUUAAGUGUGAGCUGUGCAUGGUGCCUUUCUUCCAAAGAGGACAGUAUGGGAGGGAGGAUGAGGGUGAGAGGAAUUUUGUGUAGACAAACCUGCCAAACAGAGUACAUCAAACAGGUCAUCAAGGUCAACAUCAAUAGUGAUAAACCAUGGUGAUUGUAUCUACCUUUGAUAUGAGGUGAUGAAAACGGUUCUCUACCUACAUGACUCCUCAAAAGCGUCAAGGUCAUAAAAAAGAAAGGAAAGUCUGAAGUAGCCAAGAAUAGCCUGAGGAGAUAUGACAACUUAAAGUAAUAUAGUAAUCCAGAUGGGAGCAUGGAAUAGAAAAAGACAUAAGGUAAACCUAAGCAAACCUGAAUAAAUGACGGACUUAAGUUAAUAUGGUGUCAAUAUUGUUUUGUUAAUUGAUACAAAUGUUCCAUCGUAUUGUAAAAUGUUAA
Myotis brandtii (Brandt's bat) is the source of this 3119-nucleotide long non-coding RNA. RefSeq lists it as uncharacterized. The transcript has 2 exons. NCBI's taxonomy places the organism in Eukaryota, Metazoa, Chordata, Mammalia, Chiroptera, Vespertilionidae. The record is from RefSeq and is a predicted model, not a curated record.